Molecule: non-coding RNA, 72 nt
Organism: Bos taurus (domestic cattle)
Lineage: Eukaryota; Metazoa; Chordata; Mammalia; Artiodactyla; Bovidae
Source: Rfam
UCCCUGGUGGCUCAGAGGGUAAAGCGUCUGCCCGCAAUGCAGGAGACCUGGGUUCGAUCCCUGGGUUGGGAA